This 570-nucleotide ribosomal RNA is filed under the name uncultured bacterium. RNAcentral describes it as "partial 16S ribosomal RNA". It matches the Rfam family "Bacterial small subunit ribosomal RNA", at positions 355 to 1376 of the family's 1533-position model. The record is from RNAcentral.
UGGGGAAUCUUAGACAAUGGGGGAAACCCUGAUCUAGCCAUGCCGCGUGAGCCGAUGAAGGCCUUAGGGUUGUAAAGCUCUUUCAGCUGGGAAGAUAAUGACGGUACCAGCAGAAGAAGCCCCGGCUAACUCCGUGCCAGCAGCCGCGGUAAUACGGAGGGGGCUAGCGUUGUUCGGAAUUACUGGGCGUAAAGCGCACGUAGGCGGAUUAGUCAGUCAGAGGUGAAAUUCCCAGGGCUCAACCCCUGGAACUGCCUUUGAUACUGCUAGUCUUGAGGUCGAGAGAGGUGAGUGGAAUUCCGNGUGUAGAGGUGAAAUUCGUAGAUAUUCGGAGGAACACCAGUGGCGAAGGCGGCUCACUGGCUCGAUACUGACGCUGAGGUGCGAAAGCGUGGGGAGCAAAACAGGAUUAGAUACCCCUGGUAGUCCACGCCGUAAACGAUGAAUGCCCAGUCGUCGGGUUGCAUGCAAUUCGGUGACACACCCUAAACGGGAUUAAAGCAUUCCGCCUGGGGAGUACGGUCGCAAGAUUAAACCUUAAUGAAUUGACGGGGUCAUAGCUGUUUCCUG